Molecule: long non-coding RNA, 646 nt
Filed under: Ananas comosus (pineapple)
Lineage: Eukaryota; Viridiplantae; Streptophyta; Magnoliopsida; Poales; Bromeliaceae
Description: long non-coding RNA (ACOM_LNC018714)
Source: RNAcentral
AUUUCAGAACAAAAAAACUUAAAUCUUAUUAAAGCUACUAUUUUCCUAUCUUUUAUAACAAGAUUAUAAUCAUUUAAAUAGUUUCAUCUUUUAAAAAUAAACUUUUUUUAAAAAAACAACUUUUGUUUAAAUUCCCACCGUAUAAAUGUGAGACCCCAGAUAGUCCUAUAUAUGAAAUAUAAUAGGGCUAAACUCUUAACCCGACUUAAACAUUUUGAGUGGUGGCAAGGCCCAAGACGUUAAGAGAGUUAAGCGUGCUAAGACGGAAGUAGUUCUAGGAUGGGUGAUCCUCUGGAAAGUUGGGGCGCCACAGAUAGUAUCAGAGCUAAUUACCAGCCGGAAGUGUGAGAUGAGUCUCAGCUGAGCCAGAGUCUAGAUGACGGGCUAGCGAGACGAGUCUCACAUCGCCUGAUACUUGUGAGUCUGAGCCUGACGAGUACGUCAAGGCUUAAAGGAGGGGAGAUUGUGAGACCCCAAAUAGUCCUAUAUAUGAAAUAUAAUAGGGCUAAACUCUUAACCCGGCUUAAGUAUUUUGGGUGGUGGCAAGGCCCAAGAGAUUAACAGAGUUAAAAGUGCUAGGACAGGAUUAGUCAUAGAAUGAAUGACCGCCUGGAAAGUUGGCGCGCCACAAUAAACGUGCAAGCCC